Molecule: ribosomal RNA, 468 nt
Filed under: uncultured bacterium
Lineage: Bacteria
Description: bacterial SSU rRNA
Rfam family: Bacterial small subunit ribosomal RNA
Source: RNAcentral
GAUGAACGCUGGCGGCGUGCUUAACACAUGCAAGUCGAACGAAGAUGCCGGAGUGCUUGCACUUUGGCAGACUGAGUGGCGGACGGGUGAGUAACGCGUGGGUAACCUGCCUUAUACAGGGGGAUAACAGUUGGAAACGACUGCUAAUACCGCAUAAGCGCACGGUAUCGCAUGAUACAGUGUGAAAAACUCCGGUGGUAUAAGAUGGACCCGCGUCUGAUUAGCUUGUUGGUGAGGUAACGGCCCACCAAGGCGACGAUCAGUAGCCGGCCUGAGAGGGUGAACGGCCACAUUGGGACUGAGACACGGCCCAAACUCCUACGGGAGGCAGCAGUGGGGGAUAUUGCACAAUGGGGGAAACCCUGAUGCAGCGACGCCGCGUGGAGGAAGAAGGUUUUCGGAUUGUAAACUCCUGUCGUUAGGGACGAUAAUGACGUACCUAACAAGAAAGCACCGGCUAACUACGUG